RNAcentral lists this ribosomal RNA (253 nucleotides) under uncultured bacterium. RNAcentral's name for it is "partial 16S ribosomal RNA". It matches the Rfam family "Bacterial small subunit ribosomal RNA", at positions 524 to 776 of the family's 1533-position model. The record is from RNAcentral.
GACGUAGGGCGCGAGCGUUGUCCGGAAUUAUUGGGCGUAAAGAGCUCGUAGGCGGCCUGUCGCGUCGACUGUGAAAACCCAGGGCUCAACCCUGGGCCUGCAGUCGAUACGGGCAGGCUAGAGUGCAGUAGGGGAGACUGGAAUUCCUGGUGUAGCGGUGAAAUGCGCAGAUAUCAGGAGGAACACCGGUGGCGAAGGCGGGUCUCUGGGCUGUAACUGACGCUGAGGAGCGAAAGCGUGGGGAGCGAACAGG